This 443-nucleotide ribosomal RNA is filed under the name uncultured bacterium. Its description in RNAcentral is "partial 16S ribosomal RNA". It matches the Rfam family "Bacterial small subunit ribosomal RNA", at positions 338 to 795 of the family's 1533-position model. The record is from RNAcentral.
CCUACGGGUGGCAGCAGUGGGGAAUAUUGGUCAAUGGCCGCAAGCCUGACCCAGCAACGCCGCGUGAAGGAAGAAGGCUUUCUGGUUUUAAACGUCUUUUUGCAGGGACGAAGAAAGUGACGGUACCUGAGGAAUAAGCCACGGCCAACUACGGGCCAGCAGCCGCGGCCAUCCGUAGGUGGCAAGCGUUAUCCGGAUUUAUUGGGUGUAAAGGGCGUGUAGGCGGGAGCGGCAGUCCGACGUGAAAACUCAGUGGUCAACCCUGAGCCUGCAUUUGAAACUGUGUUUCUUGAGUGCUGGAGAGGCAAUCGGAAUGCCGUGUGUAGCGGUGAAAUGCGUAGAUAUACGGAGGAACACCAGUGGCGAAGGCGGAUUGCUGGACAGUAACUGACGCUGAGGCGCGAAAGCGUGGGGAGCAAACAGGAUUAGAUACCCUGGUAGUC